AUACGUAGGGUGCGAGCGUUGUCCGGAAUUACUGGGCGUAAAGAGCUCGUAGGUGGUUUGUCGCGUCGUCUGUGAAAUUCCGGGGCUUAACUCCGGGCGUGCAGGCGAUACGGGCAUAACUUGAGUACUGUAGGGGAGACCGGAAUUCCUGGUGUAGCGGUGAAAUGCGCAGAUAUCAGGAGGAACACCGGUGGCGAAGGCGGGUCUCUGGGCAGUAACUGACGCUGAGGAGCGAAAGCAUGGGUAGCGAACAGGAUUAGAUACCCUGGUAGUCCAUGCCGUAAACGGUGGGCGCUAGGUGUAGGGGUCUUCCACGACUUCUGUGCCGUAGCUAACGCAUUAAGCGCCCCGCCUGGGGAGUACGGCCGCAAGGCUAAAACUCAAAGGAAUUGACGGG
This 397-nucleotide ribosomal RNA is filed under the name uncultured bacterium. RNAcentral's name for it is "partial 16S ribosomal RNA". It matches the Rfam family "Bacterial small subunit ribosomal RNA", at positions 523 to 917 of the family's 1533-position model. The record is from RNAcentral.